GAUGAACGCUGGCGGCGUGCCUAAUACAUGCAAGUCGAGCGAACAGAUGAGGAGCUUGCUCCUCUGACGUUAGCGGCGGACGGGUGAGUAACACGUGGAUAACCUACCUAUAAGACUGGGAUAACUUCGGGAAACCGGAGCUAAUACCGGAUAAUAUAUUGAACCGCAUGGUUCAAUAGUGAAAGACGGUUUUGCUGUCACUUAUAGAUGGAUCCGCGCCGCAUUAGCUAGUUGGUAAGGUAACGGCUUACCAAGGCAACGAUGCGUAGCCGACCUGAGAGGGUGACCGGCCACACUGGAACUGAGACACGGUCCAGACUCCUACGGGAGGCAGCAGUAGGGAAUCUUCCGCAAUGGGCGAAAGCCUGACGGAGCAACGCCGCGUGAGUGAUGAAGGUCUUCGGAUCGUAAAACGCUGUUAUUAGGGAAGAACAAAUGUGUAAGUAACUAUGCACGUCUUGACGGUACCUAAACAGAAAGCCACGGCUAACUACGUG
This 497-nucleotide ribosomal RNA is filed under the name uncultured bacterium. RNAcentral's name for it is "partial 16S ribosomal RNA". It matches the Rfam family "Bacterial small subunit ribosomal RNA", at positions 28 to 507 of the family's 1533-position model. The record is from RNAcentral.